CCUCUAACCGCCGACAAAGGCUUUUCUAAACUAAUGCUACCUUUUCUUGUUCCUGUUCUCCGUUCAUUCCUCUCUUCCUUUUUCUUUUCUUUUUUUUCUAAAAAAAAAAAAUCCAAAGAAGGAUAGAACAUGGAAGGCCGCAUAAGCUCUCAAGUCUCAAGCCCAUCGGUGGCAAAAGCUCUUAGGCAGCCACUCCGAAUGUUUUGAGAAACAUUUCCCCUGUGUUUUGAGAUGGACGAAUUCGAAGAGGUUGAGCAAUCUUUAAGUUUUUCCAGCGAAUUUUUGACGAUGCUCUUGAUUUUUUAGUUCUCUUGACAUGGAUUCAUUGCAAGAGUAAGCUUUACAAUAGACAUUGAAGUCUUGUCUGUUCUGGGUUCUAACUGCAACUUCAAGAACAAAGUGGACAAGCUAGUCUUGUCCAUUCUUUCUGCUUUUCGUUGUUUUUUUUUAGUUUUAUUUCCAUUCUUAUUUCUUAUUUCUUUUCAGGAUUUCCAUUCUUAUAUCCUUAGGUAUUUAUUUUCAAAACUAACAAAUAAUCAAACUUUUAUCUUUUUUCUUCAAUCUGCUCUUUUCUUCAUCUCUCUUUCUUUUUUUUUUUUUGGUCUUUUCCCCAUAUCUAAGAUUAAAUCUUAUUUAGAAAAAGAUAUCAAGCACUGAUUGUGGUGGCUAAAUUGAAGGAGCUGAGGAGGUGAAAAUGGGUUUUAGAGAGGUGAGAGAUCAGGAGGAAUUUAGAUAGGCAAAGAAAAAAAAAAGCAACAAAAAUGGCAAAAAAAAAAAAAAACCGGGUUCUCAUCGGUUUUACCGGUUUCCGGUCAAACCCGGGCUUGACCGAGUUUCUGUCAUCCGAGUUUUUAGAGCAGCUCGGACCGGACACUUGACCGGUUCCCGGUUGAACCGGUCGGACCGGCCGGUCCGGUCCGAGUUUAAAAACACUGGUAAAAAGCUUGGCUCAAGCUCGAGCUACUCGUUACAUUCAAUGAGUCGAGUUCGACCUCCAAAAAUAAAUACUCAAAUGCUCAACGAGUUUAAUCGAGUUUUCAUAUUAUAUUUAUAUUAUAUAUUUUUAAAAAAAUUUAUAUGUUUAUUUCAAAACUCGAGUUCGAACUCGAGUAGAUCAGGCUUGAUAUUUACUCGAGCUUACUCGAGUUCAAACGAGUCGAGUUAGAGUUUAAUUUUAUUUUAUUGAGUCGAGCUCGAGUCCAAAUUUGUUUACUAGUUCGAGCUCGAGCUCGAGUAGCACUGAUUCUGAUCGAGUUCGAUCUCGAGCAUGGUGCUACUCGAACUCGACUCGAUAGUAUCUCUAAUCCCGAUAAGGUUAAGGUAAAGAACAAUAAAAGGGCACAAACAUGGUCAAAAUUACAAGAAAACCUAUCCAAACAUUAAUAAACGGACACACAAAUCUCCAAAUUUACGGGCAAAAACCUGACCACCAAGGGCAUUAUAGAGAAAGAAAAUGCAAAGUCAAUAUCAGAAAAUUCAGGAGCCACAAAUUUCACCUUUAUGCCACGUUGGAAAGACCAAAAUACCCCACGAAUUCAUCAGAAUUACCAUCAAAACCGGCCCAUGGCUGCACUGUAGCUAAACCCUCUUCCCCCUUUUAUAUAUUGUAGAUUCUAAAAGUGAAAAAUUGUGCAGGAUAUAACCACUUCAACACAACAUUCUAAAAGUGGAAGAAGGUGAUUAAAGGCACUAGAAACUUAACCGCUUAAAAUCUAAACACUAGCCAACUUCAUUGAGUCACUGCAAAGUACAUGAUACCAAGCAUAAAGUUGUCCUAAUACAUCAAAAUACCUAACAAGCACUCAGCUUCUCAAACUUCGUACAACCAAUUUCUCACUAACAGUUUUCAUUGCAUAACAGAGCACAUGGGUCAAUUAAGAUUGCAUAGCAUGAUACUUCUCCAGUUCUUUGUCAAGUUGAUCAGCUGAUUUGUCAAGAGCUUUCUUUAUCCCACGGCACCCACCACGAAAUUUAAGUUUGGAAAUCAGGAAUGCAAUAAACAGGGGCCAUCAGUUAUUGACUUGUACAAAUACAAACAACAAAAGAAAAACCAAAAUAUCAAGUCCAUUUAAUAUUUCAUCCAUGAAUAGCACUUUAGACGGACCAACCAAUACCUCACCUAUCAAACAUAGGCAAGUCAGUGUGACGAUAAAACUUGCUGUCCAUGGUCAAGAAGCAACAGCCUAAAGAAUUUACCAGUUUUAAGCCUCUUCUUUUGGCCACGUAACAUGUCAAUUCUGCAUUUGAGAAGUUCCCAAACCAUUUGAAAGAAACUUUAAAUUUAAGAAUAUAUUAAGGAUUGUUGCCCAUACUUUGAAGGUACAACAUAUUACUUCAAACUUGAUCUGCAAAGCUUCCUAAGAUAGCUGCCAAAUCAAGAAACCAGGGUUUGACCAUGAAGUAAGACUCUAAACUCCAAGACUUGCAAUUUACCAGAAUCGAUCAAAUGGACAACAAUAAGUAAUGAUAGCAAACAUUUCUAGGGACAGAAAAUAAAAAAUGCAUUCAUUGUGCUAAACAAAACAGCGUUAAAGUCGUCAAGAACAAACAUUUGAUCAGAGAAUAGCUUUGACAGAAAAGAAAAGAAAAACUUACCACAAAAUACGACUUCAAUGCCGGGUUUCAGGACUUAACUCCUCAAACGUAGCAAUGUUGUAAAGCCUUAGGAGAUAAGAACCCCCAAAAUGACGUGCAAGAGCUAAAUUCCUUUCUGGCAAUGAUGGCUAUUAUAGACAAAAAGAGCAAAAGAAAAAACAAUAAAUGAAAGAUUAAUCAUACGAUAAACAUGGCUGUUACAUAUCCAAAAACAAUAAAAGAAACAUUAAUUAUACGAUAAAGAUGGCUGUUACGUGUAACAAAGAAAGAUCAAUUACGACAUGUGAGGAUGUGAGGAGGUGGUGGUUCACUUAAUAGAGAAAUAAAGUUAGAAGUAUUACUAUAUCUGCAUUAAAGUCUUGUAUUAUCUGCUGAUAGUUAGCGAGUGUGUCCGCAUCCUCAGUGUGAGCACCAAAAUUUCUUAGAUAUUCUACAUAAGACCAGAAGUUAUCAAUGUAAUCUUUUGGCUUAGACACACUUUCCAAUUUUAGUUCCGCUGCUUUUUUUGCCGCUGAAUUGAAGGAUAAUUAAAUACAGCGGUAUAGAUGCUAGGUCGGUUAGCUUGUCGAAUUCGAGAUGUCCAAGAUCCGAAACUAACUCUUAAAUUCUUUGCUCUCUUUUUCAUCCUUCGCUCAGCACGAAUGACAAUUUCCUCACGCUCUACUUGCGUCAAGAGGAAAUGAUGGUACUUCAGUUUUGGCAUAGAGAAAUGAAAUAAAACAAAUUUAGUAAAAGAAUAAAGCACACUAAACUUCAAAAACAGGACCAAAAGUCAGAAAUAAAUCUCUUUCCACUGCUCAAAAUGAAAUAAAACAAAUUUAGUGGAAGAGCGAAACACUACACUAAACUCCAGAAACAUUACAGAAAGUUAGAAACUCACUGCAGAAAUUCUCUCUCACUACAAAAUGAAUCAUACUCCGCUCGUAAAAGGCUAGGAUGAGGUUGUGGAAGUAAGUCGUUGAACAUUUGAUGUAGAGAGUUCAUAUCAAGCAGACUGCAGCUUUCCCACUCCUUUUUUCCCUUGUUUCUGCAAUCAAAUUUAAUCAAGAACAGCUUUACUUUUUCUCCGGCCACAAAAAUUUUGUUCCCCGUUAUGUCGCCGUGGCCAAUUUUCAUCUUCCAAAUUUCUCCAAAGCAUGAGAUGAUGCCCCUAGAGAUAAGUUACAAAAAAAUCACAUGCAUGUGUAUCUAAUUUCUUACAUAAUUACUGUAGCACUUUUUGUGAUGUGAUGUAUGUGAGAUAAAAAGGUGGUUGAGAAUAUAAAAAGGUGGGUUGAAAAAUGUGUUUAUGAUGCAAGUAAAAUAUUCUUUGGGAUAAGUUCCCUAUCCAACCAAACCCUUCAGUUUUUUGGCAAUUAAUCUUUGGCCAAAAUAAAGAUUGGCUCGUUUCAAUCAAGCAGGGCCACGGGCAGGAAUGGUUGCAGGUGCAAUAGGAAUUGUUGCACCUUGCAACCGUUUCUAGUGAUUUUAUGCAUUUUGCAUACCGUUUAGUUUUGUUUGUAUACGGCGUAAUUUUAUUUGCACAACAUAUAACUUUAGAACAAAUUUUUAUGGAUCCCACACACGUUAUUAAAAACGAUGUACAAGAAAUGAUUUGGACCGUACAAUUUUUUUGGCCGUAAAUAGCUCAGAAGCGAUCCAUCUGAUGACCGUUCCUGCUCCUCGUCCAAUCAAGUGUGCCUUCUUACCAUGUACUCAAGUAGUACCGGUGCUUGACAAUAUUCAAUUUUUAAAAAAUUCAUAUACUCUCACAAUUAAGAAAUGUAUAAUUAUGACUACAUAAAACUCGUACGUUAACAACUAAAUUUAAAAUUCCUUACAACUGUAAUUAAAUCUUGAAGGAGUUAAAUUCAGAAUUCCUUACAAUUGCAAUUAAAUCUAGAAAGAAUUAAGUUCAAACUUCUUGACAACUGUAAUUAAAUCUAAAGGGUGCAAUCUGAAAGUGUUUCUUUUUUAUCUUUAGUUCCCUUGACUUAGUUCGAGUUUCUCCUACUAUAUAUAAUAUAUUAGCACACGAAUAGGGUAGUGUUCCUGAUUAACAUUGUAAAAAAAAAUUCAUAUACGUAAAUUACUAUAACGUCAUAAACCAUUUUUUUUUUAAAAGGUACUUGCUCAGGUUUGGAAUCGUGAGUUGGCCCAAACUAGACUUAACAUCAUAAAGUGAAACAACUGGCGGGUUGCAACACUAAUUAAGGAUAUUCAGUCUAUUUGUAAUUUGUUUCACCAGUGCUCUUUCUCUUUUGCUAAUGCUGGGAAAUUAGAUAGUAUUAAGCUGAGCAUUUAUGCUCUUAACAUUUGAGUAGAUGAAGAAUGGAUAAAUCUCAAUUUUAAAUGCUAGCGCAUCAAUGAAUAGUACGAGACUGUUGUUCCUUUUGUUUGGAUCCUUGUCUAAUUACAAUAAAGUUUUUACGACGAAUUAUAAAACUAUCGUUUCGACAAAAAAAAAAAAUCAUUACGCGAAACAAAACAAAGGUCCAAUUAAGUUUUACAUUCGGAGAAAAAAAUAAACGACGUCGUUGGCUGUUUCCACCUUUCUUCUUCCUCCUCCGGUUCACACACACUCAAAUAGAGGACAGGUACCCCUCCCGCCUCCUUACGGCGGCGUUUCGUUCUUCUUCCCGCCUUUUUUUUUCUCUUUUUGACUCACUCAUGAACGGAAGAAGCAAGGGCCAAUUUCUUGUAUGCAAUUUCCAACAAAUCAGAACAAUAGUAAAAGUCCGGCUGAAAUGGGUGAAGAACAGCUCCUUAGACCAUUAAUCGACGUCCAAACAGACCUUAAAGCCGCCUGCCUUCUCAAGGACGCUAUAGCACGCUUCUCCACAGGCUAUUUGCCCUCCAAAUCACUGGAAAAUACCCAGAAGCUAUUGGGCAUCACUGUCCCGACGCUGCGUUUCAUUCGCAGAUUCCCGACUUUAUUCCAUGAGUUCCCUCACCCCAAAUGGCCUUCUUUGGCCCGUUUUGAGCUGACCCAUGUUGCCAAAUUGCUUCGUCAGCAAGAAAUGAAGGUCUUUGAUGAAUGCCAGACUGAUUUGGUUGAAAGGCUUUGCCUCCUCCUCACGAUGUCCAAGUCCCAAAUGGUAUGCUCAUUUUGCUUUCACUUUUACUUACUGAAAUUUUGUGUGGGUUUUUUUUUUUUUGGUUUAUGUCUUGUUUUAGUUGGGUAAAUAUGCUUUAUGUUUUAUGCUUUUGCCGUUUUUAAUUUAAUUAGACGUCAAGCUUGCUGCUAUUUCUGUAAGUAAUUUUGCUUAUGUAUAAAGUAAUUGUGGGGCUUGUCGUUUGGGAAAUCAAUUUUACUAAAGUUGUUAUCGUUAUUGGGUAAUUGAGGUUGUUUAUGACAUUUUUUUUCAAAAAGGUUUAAUCAGGUAUCAAGAUUGAAUAAAAAUGUGAUUUGUAUUUCCUAAUAGUUUUUUUUGUUCUUUUUAUUGGUUUUUAUUCUUCCGUUAAUUAAAUUGGGCAUCAAAAUGAUAAAUAUUGGAUUUUUAAACUUUGCGGACGUCGGACUAUCUUUGGUGAAGGAGAAACAUAUGAACCAAACAAUUUGAUUGUUCCUGUGCAAUUUGGUUGUUAUGCUUUUGUUCGUCUGCCAAUGCCAAGGAGUUGAUGUGAAUAGUUUGGAGGUCUAUUUGUGUUGAGAUGUGUCUUCCUGUAUAAAAAUUUGUUGACGGUCAGCUGUUACUGUUUGAAGAGCUGAUGAAUUAUUUCUCGUGCUACCUUUAUGGAUUUUGUCCUAAGAAUCAACAAUGAUGUGAAGUGGUGUCAAUGGUGAUAUUUGUCUUCGCUUUUGCAUCCUAUGCAUAUAUAUAUCAUGGAAUUCUGUGAGCUAGAAUAGACGAGAUCUGCCCUUGUUUAGCUGAUUUGAUCUUGUGUCAAUACUUAUAGAGGACAACACAUGAAUAAAUAUGAUCACUUUUCUUGUAUUAGUCGAAUUCUAGUAUGAUGCGGUGAUGUUGCACCAUCAAAUUAAUGUGCAAGUUUGGAUGCUUUAUAUCUUCAUGGAUUAUGAGUUUUGUUUGUUUUAUAUGCAGAUACCUCUGCAAUCAAUACAUCCGUUGAAAUGGGAUUUUGGUUUGCCAGAUGAUUUUGACAAGAAUUUAGUCAAAAGGUUCCCAGAUCAUUUUCAGAUUGUUAAAGGAACAAAUGGAUUGGCUUGUUUGAAGCUUGUUCAGUGGCGAGAAGAAUUUGCUGUAUCUGAGCUGCAAAAGAGCAAUGAGAAGAGAGGAUUAGAAAGUGAUAAUGGUGCUGAUGGAAGAAAUGCUUAUAAGUAUCGGGAAUUCAAGAGGGGAAAAUCAGCUUUAGAGUUCGCAAUGAGUUUUCCCAGAGGCUAUGGAGCUCAAAAGAAGGUGAAGGCAUGGAUGGAGGAAUUUCAAAAGCUACCCUACAUCUCUCCUUAUGAGGAUUCCAGGAGGAUUGACCCAAAUAGUGAACUUGUGGAGAAGAGAGUUGUUGGAGUGCUCCAUGAAUUUUUGAGCUUGACUAUUUACAAGAAGACAAAGAGGAAUUACUUGAGGUCCUUGAGAGAGGAGUUAAUUCUUCCCCACAGGUUUACUCGACUAUUUACUAGGUACCCAGGGAUAUUUUACUUAUCGCUAAAAUGUAAGACAACUACUGUUGCACUGAGAGAGGGGUACCGCAGGGGAAGACUAGCGGAACGACAUCCUAUUGCUUGACACAGGGAUAAGUUUCAUCAUGUAAUGAGAACUGGGUUGGUAUACCGAUGUAAAGGGAUUGAAGUUCUACCUCAGCUGGACAGUUUGAUUGAUGAAGCCGAAGAGGACAAAGUUGAAGGUCAAAGCGAAGAAGAAGAGAUUGAAACAAGUGAUGAAUGCUAUGAAGCUGGUACUUCGGAGGUGGAGAGUGCGUCUGAUGAGGAUUAGCAUUGAGUUGUCUGAAUGACCCCUUUUUUUUGUCGGGUUGGGCUAAGAGAUAUUGAGCUCUAUAGGUAGAUAGGUCCUGCUGUGUAACAUUCUAGAUCUGUAUUUCAGUAUUCUUGCUUGAUGCAUGGUCUGGUAUACAAGUGUUACAGAUGGCUUCAUUGCUCAUUCAAAGCGAGAAUAGUAUUUAUUUUUGUAAUUGGCUUACAGAUAUGUUUGCUAAGAUUUUCAUGUUUAGCAUUGCCAUUUAGUAGAGAGCCAGCAACUGGGAUGCAGCAAUUGCUUGGCUUACUUGAACUAAAGACUUGAUGCUGUAUAACAUUUUACCUGAGGAAAUGAAAAAACAUGGAAAUGUGUUGUUUUGAGAUUUUCGUCAUGUGUGCAUGUGAUGUGUUAGACUUUCACCCGGAUUCCCAGACAGUUUCAUCCUUUCCUUGAGGAGCUCCAAGACUAUGCUGCAGUCUCCCAAUUACCAGACAUACAUCUCACUUGCAAUGGAGCUUUCUCGUGAAAAUACAUUUAUUUCUGUGUAUUCAUGGUGCCUUGCAUUAAGAGCCAGGGAAGCUGUUUCUCCCUUCUGUAUCUUAUCAAAACUCCAGGUUCUACCUCGCUAGUUGUGGCUGUCAUAGAUCGGAUGGUAUCAACCUGGCAGUUUGAUGGCUUAAUUAUUUUUCUUUCACUUUGACAAAAAGAAAGAAAAGCACUGGUUUGACAAAACGUUCUCCAGCAUAAUUGUUCAAUAGUGAUGCGAAAAUGGACAAAUAGUUGCACCCAGCAUUACCAAAGUUGUGGUAAGGACUUGCUAAAAAAGUACUAUAGUUGUACAUAUUUUAAUAAUCACAUAAAAUUAUACCUACUUUAAUAAGAAUUGCAAGAAAAUGAAUGGUAAAGUAUCUUUGAUGCAAUUGUAUGUAAUUGUCUUGUUCAUCUUUUCUACUAACAAAACAAAAAUACAAUUUGUGACUUACAACCACGCUUUCAUUUUUAUCAGCCUAUUAUAAAAAUAAGAAAAAACCUUUUCCCGAACCAAGUGCAUUUGUUGAGCCUGUAUAUAACAAGCCAAAUCCAAGUUAAAAAUUGUGAAAUUUCUGUGUUUUUUACUCUUCUGGAAAUGAUAGACAUAUGAAGUUCGUUGUCUCGAAAUAAUCUAGACGAAAUUUUCAACGAAAAUCAUCGUUGAAACGAAGAGUGUGACAUCCAAGCUCCUCAUCUUUGGAUUGGCAACACAUUACUAAUGGAAUGGAAUUGUUUGGAAGGUUGUUGACUACACGAACGUAAUGCCCCUCGAUCGAAGCUAUUACAUGGAUAGUUUCGAAAAAGUAAAAUGAUAAGAUGACUAGAUAUAGAAGGUUUUUCAGUUUGGUCUAUGUCAUUUUGCUCAGUGAAAUUUAACUCUUUGAAUCAGAAAACGCCCUGGAGCUACAUGCAAGAUGGUAAUGUUGUUCCUUUUUUUUUCCUUUUCGCUUAGAGAAAAAACGUUGGAGUGGUUCACUGGGGUUGAAAUUUUAACUUUUGUUGGUUAACGCUAAUUUUAAUAUGAAUGCGGAUAAAGGAUUUGGAAUCACUCAAAAUUUUGGGUAAUCGCUAAUGAGCAUGCAUUGAUUCCAGCCGCAUGGUAAAUAAAUGUCCAUUUUGUGCAAAUAUGGGAAGUAGUUCACAUAAUAAUUAACCAAUUAUCUUUUAUCUCUUUAUUCAACUUCAACAACAUCCCUCUCUCACUCUUAUUAUUUUCUUCCCCUCUUCUUCUGGGAUCUUGUUUCUUUGAAAAUUAAAGCAAAAGUGUCUAUUGAAGGAAACAAUAUGAUGCUGGUCUGUCUAAUGGGUGCUCAAACUCAUUAGGAUAUGUUUUAGAUGUUAGAAUUUUUGAAAAGGUAAAAUUAAUUAGGAAAAGUCUAUAAAUAUGAGAGAGGAUAAUAGUUGUUAGUAUGUGUAUGUGUGUAAUGGAUUCGGUGAAAUUUAAAUGUGUUAACGAGUGCUUAUUGGACACCCGUUAGAAAAAUCGUACGAUGCACACUAAUUAAUUAAUAUGAUUAAAAGAAUAUCAAAAUGAAAACUCGUUAUUCCAAGUGGGAUACAGGGCAGGGGACCGUCCCUGGACAGUUCACGACCAAGGUUUGGCCAAAAAAAAUUAUACAGUCCAGAUUUCAUCUUGUAUCUCGAUUUUAACAACAUGUGUGGGACCUACAAAAUUUUGUUCUAAAAUUAUAUGUUGUUAAAAAUAAGUUACACCAUGUGCAAACAAAGCUAUGUCGUGUGCAAAAUGCAUAUAACUGUCAGGAACGGUUGCAGAAGGUCAUUAUCAUAAACAAGAUCCUCGGUUUUCGAUUGACAACCACUACUAAUGGAAUAGAUUUGUUGAGAAGCCUAUGAUUGGCCGAGCUAAUUAAUUUUGGCUCCAAACAUCUACAAGGCCAAUUUCGGAAAAAAGUAAGGUGGUGUAAUAAACUAUAGCAUUAAUUUUUAUUUUAGUCACUAAAUUUUAAAGUAGGACAAUUUAGUCAUCAAAGUACGAAAAUAGUCCUCCUUUAAAAUCUGUCUUACUUUAAUCCCUAAGGUACAAAAUUUGUCCUAUUUAAUCUCUAAAAUAUUAAAAACCAGUCUCACUUUUAUCUCCAAUGUAUAAAAUUUAUCCUACUUUAAUUCCUAGGUACAAAAUAUAUCCCGCUUAAUUAUAAAUUUUAUUUGACUUCUGCUAACAAUUUUACUUGUCAAAAAAAUUUUCAUAUUUUGGGCACUGAAAUAUCCUAUUUUGAAGUUUAGAAAACGAAAUAAAAAUACAAGUAUAAUUGAAAGAGUGCAAAGUGGAAUUAACUCUAGAUAGUAAGACAUGUACACUAGAAAAAACCCUCCAUCAUUUUUUUUAGGCAAACAUAAAAAAAAAAAAAAAAGAACUGUCCAUCAUUCAUGGUAUAACUUAUCUUGAUUUUGAUCGAAAUGAUACAUGCCAAGCUUCCUCCUCCUACGUUCUCGCCAAGGAUUGACUGUUGAUGUUGAUUAAUCACAUAAAUAUGGCGCAUUUACUCUUAUAGCUGUCAAUAAAUGUUAGUUGCCAAUCAAGGCAACAUUUCAAGUCCUUUAAUUACAGAAGGUUUGGCGAAAUAAAUCAUUUGGCUCACAGGUGUUGUGACUGUUGUCAACGUUCUUUACUAAUAUGAAUAGGACUGCAAAUAAUGGAACAAUUUUGGUAGAGAAAUGUUAUAGUAAGCAUUAAUUAGUAUACCAAAAAAAAAAAAGCUCCUGAUGUUAUCUUUCUUUUCUUAUCUUCUUUAUUCCAUCCAGUUUUUUUUUUUAGGCUUAUAUAUGAAUUUCUUAACUUUGUAAAGUUUUUGUAGGCAUAUCUAGCCUAAACUAGCCUACUCCUACUGGGGGGAGCCUACUCCAGAGAGUGGCUCAACUAAAUCGGAGAAAUUUGAUAGGAACUAAAUUACUAUCAGACCAGACGGAUGCACCCCACUCUCGUAUGAAUUUAUAACAAGCCUCGUAGAGAGGCAUAUUAAUAGGAGGUAAGAUUUGAACCCUUGACCUUCUACCUCACAAUUAAUGUGGUGGCCAACUCCUCCGGAGGGAUUUGGUUAACUUUGUAAAUUUAGUUCGACACACAAAUUCCUCUAGCAAGCCUUGUUUGAAAGGUGAGUUUUUUUAGAGUUUAUCUAAAAUUUUACUGUGACUUGCUGUAGAAGUUUUUUUAAAAUUUUUUGAAAUGUGUAGAUUUUUAAAUAUUUUGAAGUGUAUAAUUUAAAAAUUUUGAGAAAUUUUUUGAGAUUAUUAUAACUAAAGUUUUUAAAAAAAACUUAUAGCGACAAACUUGGCAAAAAAACUUAACUUCCAAACAAGGCCAAAACAUGCGCAGGAGGGAUUCAGUUUCCAGCAGGCGGCAGCCAAUUUAAGGGAGAUAAAAAAAACUUAUAGCGACAAACUUGGCAAAAAAACUUAACUUCCAAACAAGGCCAAAACAUGCGCAGGAGGGAUUCAGUUUCCAGCAGGCGGCAGCCAAUUUAAGGGAGAUACUGUCCGCUAAUAAAUAAAUAUAUAUAUGCAAUAAAUAAAAUCUUCACAAAUCAUAGAGUAAUAUAUGUGUACAGUGGGGACUUGUACGCCCGCAACAUCAUCUAGAAGCCACAUAUUGCACUGAUCUUGAGUUCCAGACAUCCCUUUGGUCCCUAAAAGACCCUUGAAUCAUUUUUGACUCUUCCGCAGCACAUCACAGGCCUUGUAAGGAGCCAAAAGUUUCCCCCAACAAAGUCCAUGUAAUUAGCUCCUCGCCAAGUUCCAUAAAAUUCCAAAACUUGAAAAAAAUACAUUGAUCGGUGACAGAAAAUCCCAGCCAGAUUUUCAAGAUUCAAAUUACCAUGCUAACAAUCUCUAAGCCAGAUCAGUUCCUCCAUAAUGUACAAAGAGACACCAAUAUCUUUAACCUUCCAAUGGUUAUACUACAAAACAAAAGGCACUUAUCAGGGGCAGGGAUUUGGGAACCUUGAAUGCACCUUGUUAACAUCUCCAAUAAUGUCAUCACUCAGAUUGACACUGCAGGCAUUGAGAACCUCUUGGAUUUGUCACACUGUUGUAGCUCCAAAAAUGGCACUUGCAACAAGAGGGUGUCGAAGAACAAAGGCUGCACAGAGAAAACUUCACGAUUACAAAGCUGAGGAUAUCUUUAAAGAAGCAUUAUCUUAUAUAGAAUACUAUAGUAUGAGCAUAAUAGUUUUUUUUAGAACCACCAACACUUGAGCCAAACCAUCAGCAGGAGGUACCUCACCUUGAGUGAAGCCAAAUGCAGAUAAUCCGAAAAUCUCCUACUCAUUACACGAAUAAACAACUCAUAGGGGAAGUUUAUAACUCGGAAAUUUCUUCAGUAUCAUUAUGUUCAGAGACUCCGAGACACCAACUAUUAGCAUAAUAACAACUCAUCCAGCAACUAGCACUUUUAAAAUGUAUAGCUUGUUUAUAAGAAACACCUCCAAAAUAAGCUUGCAAAUACAAUAUGCAGUAUCACUGCAAAAGGCCUGAUGGUUGAAUAUAACUGGUUGUUGACUUUUUCUUUUUUCUAUAUUCUCAGGGGAAAAGCAUCUUUAUUUGCACCUUUCGAAGGACUAAUGGUCCUGGACCACAAAAACAAAAUAAAAUAAUAUAAAAAGCAAAAUCAACUAUUGGUGGUUUUCGAUGUUAAGAACUCUUUUUGAGAGUUCAAAGAAAAGAAUUUCAGUCAAUUUCCAUAUAUCAGUCAGUGGAUCAGGUUAGAAAGGGUGAAUAGAAAUUAAGAGAGAGAGAGAGAGAGAGAGAAUGCACUUAAAGAGACAUUUAACCACUAUGAAGAAAAUAAAAUGACGCAAAAUUCAGGAAAAUUUGAUAUGUAAGCUGGAAUCAACCCAUGCAAGGCUAGGCAUCCCAAUAUAUAGACAAGAGAGAGAGAGAGAGAGAGAGAGUUAUACCAAUUGCAAGAGACACCGGGUGGACGUCGUAUUCUUCAGCAAUUUCAAGAUAUGACUGCACAAUAAAGUAAAAUCUUGAUAAGUAGACAAGAAAAUGUGCUUCUAUGCACAAUCACCCUAUAUGUUUAAAAGAGCAGUUGAUAACAUUAUAACUUGUUUGGCCACAGAAUCCUCCAGAAUGUUCAAUAAAAACAGUUGCAAGCAUAAUAAAACUGCCAAAUAAUAUCAAACAAUGAAUCAAGCUGCAGAAAGAAAAUGAAUUUAGCAAUGCCUGCAAAAUAUCUAGGCAUGAGUUAUUUCCUGUUUCCUUUACAAUCAACCAAAGAUCUCACAAAACCAGCUUGCUUCUCCUCCUAUGAAAAUAAUUGGCUUACUUCAGUGGCUGCCUUUAUAUUGGUCUUUGACAGGCUGUAUCUCGACUCUCCUUCAGCAUAUCUUCCGGACAAAAGGAAGAGACAACUGUUUGACCAAGAUUUGAUAGAAGAAACCAAUGUAACCUCUGAAAGAUUAAAACGAGCAUCUGGCCGACCCUUGUCAAGUGAGAAAUACUUGCCGGAGAGAAUGCCCAUAGCUAAAGGACUGUGUACUAACAGACAAACCCUAAAUAUAAAAUUUUGUUUUGUUUUUGUGUGUUGGGGGGUGGGGGGGUCAGUGCAGGAAAAUGCCAGCAUCAGAAUAAUUUAUUAGACGAUCAUAUGCAUAUAUAAGCAUGAAGGAAAGUUCUUCCACUGGAAUACAGAAUAAGAAGGCCAACAGAAAACUAGAUAAGAGUAGUUUCCUCUGUUCUAUUUCUGGUUGGUGUAGUGCAUAUCUGAUGAAAACUUCAAAGAAGAUGUUUUCACAAAGACCAUCACAUUUAAGCCAAGAAACUUAACUCCUUUCAUAUAUUUGAAGUAUAAACUCUUUUACAGGUUAUGUUCUCAUUCCACUUAAAAAUUCACAAAAUCUCUAUAACUGCCAUGUACCCAAAACCUCAAGAAGAUGCACGAAGCCAGUAAUUGUGAAUACAACAGACAAAAAUUAAGACCAUGAAAAAGUCAAGUACAGCAUGAAUAAGUGCGGUUCAUGGAAACAAGAUGGUCAAAAGGAAUGAGUAUGACGAAUGAUAACUUGCCAGAAGAUACACUAAGUGAAAGAGGUAAAAUGAAGCAAAUAAAUGCGGCUUGAAAGACAAGAGGCUUCAGGUUUGGAAUUUAGACAAAAAAAGAAACAACCAUUGAUGUGUGGCUAAACCAAGAAUGAAGAGUGACAUACAUAUUUAUCACAACAAAAAUGUAAUGAACUCGUAGCAGAAGGCAGUUAAACAUGUUGACAGUACAGUAUAUAACUGAAUAUUGAAAUACAUACUUCAUAGGAUAUUAGUGAGCAAUCACUUUCUCAAUAAUUUUUGGAGCUUCCUAGUGGAUGGAAGGAGUAUUCCCAGUAUAAGUGAGGCUUAACUCAGUUGUGCAGAUCAUACACACAUUCAGUACUAAGGGGUACCUCUCAUGGUGACAGCAUUCAGCCAUCCCAAAAUCAAAGUUCCGGCAAAGCAAGUUGUACGCAUUCUGAAAAUAGGGAAGUGAAUCAUAUAUUAGCUUCACAUACAUAGGGCCAACUAAAGUACAGAGAUGAACACACAUGCAAGAAUAGACAGCAAAACAAACUCAAAUUACUCAAUUAUCUAAAGAAGCCACCUUGAAAAAAAAGCCCCGCCAGAGCAAGUUGCACAAGUUCUGAAAGUAGGGAGGUGAAUCAUACCACAAGCAUAGGGUGCACUAAAAUACAGAGACAAGCAAACACAUGCAAGCAUAGACAACAAAACAAACUCAUAUUACUCAAUUGUCAAAAGGAAGCUACCCAUACAACACCUGCAAAGAUACUAUCCUUGGAUAGUGAGGUUGCUUUUGGGCAAUUUCCAGAAACUUCAUGACUCCAUACGGAGUCUCAUUGCUUAGUCCGAUGUAUCUGAUCUACAAUAACAGUCAACAUUCUGUAACAGGAAUAUAUCACCCUAAAGCAAUAAGUUGAAUACGAGCUGAACUUUUAGGUCAUCUUUACUAACCUUACCAGCAUCAACAGCUCUGCCUAAAGCAUCAAGUUGUUCAUCAAAACUUAUAUGUGAAAUAUAACGGCCAGGAUCAUAGUCAGUUUCUCCAAACAUUGGAACAUAACUGCAAGAAAUCCCAGUGGACAUCAUCCACGAAAACAAACUUUUUUUUUUUUGUUCUGUUUUUUUCUGCAGGGGACAAUAUGUGGGAUUACUUCAGUUAGAUUUGCAAAGGACAGUUACACAUUUUUAGUACGUCAGCUUAUUAUUCUGGAAACAGAAUUUGUUCUAAUGGUUACCCAUUUGCCACAUAGUAUCUAUACAGAAAAGGUCAGGUCAAUGUACAAACCGAUCAGGCCAGUGGAUUUGAUACAAGUCUAUGUAAUCAGUUUGAACACGCUACAAACUGCAAGAAUUUUUGCAAUCCUGUCAGAGAGUAUUUCAACAAAAUCAUCUUGAAAACAAAAACAUACAAGCCCUGCAGUUAAGAACUGCUACCUCAAACACACACAGACACUAGAGACAUACAAUCUCUGAAUGCCAGUGUAAUGAUGUAAGUGUAGAACUAGACCCAGCAGACAACAACAUUAGCACCACUUAGGCACUCAAGAUAUAGGUUUACCCCAUGAGAGCAGAGGGCUACAACCGAAUAACUCAGCCUAUUCUCUAGGGCUUCUGUUAUAUAUAUAUAUAUAUAUAUAUAUAUAUAAUGCAGCAUAUUUUAUACGCCAAUAAAUGUAGGUAAUAUACAAGGAGGUGAGAUUGUGAAAUGGCUCAAGCACAAGAUGUCGAGUUGAAGUAUCAAAUAACACAACGAUUAACGCGCAAAGGUGAACUGAUCAAUGUAUCAGCCCACUAUAUCUGCUUUUGAACGAGUCACCUAGGAAGGCUCUGUUUUGUCAGGCGCUGACCAGAACAAAACUGAAAUUGUCAAAGGGAGGCUUCCCUUCUCAACCUUAACUGGAUCAGCGUAAUAGUGUAAUACCAAAAAUUCAAUCAAUAGCGCAAGUUCAGGAUCCAACCUCAAUCCUUCUGGAUCAUGAAGCAAACUCCAAGACUAUAUAUAUGACACAAUCCAAAGGAAAUAAAACCCCACAAAAACAAGAAACCGUUGGCUAUAGCAGUUUCAUCAAAAGCUCCAUUUUCUAUAUAUUGGAAAACACGAGAAUUAGCCAGAAACAAAAACAAAAUGGGAUCAGCUACCAUGAAAGCUGCUAGUAGUAGCAUUUUUUGCACUUGUCUCUUUUCCAUGAUCAUCAGCUUCAGCUCUAGCUAUGCUAGGCCUUCAUACUAAUCUUUCUUAACUUACAAUAUGAAGGAACAGAUGGGACGCACAAUAGAGCCAUUCUUUGUUGCAUUACAAGUCCUUGUACUUACCAAU
RNAcentral lists this long non-coding RNA (16305 nucleotides) under Coffea arabica (coffee). RNAcentral describes it as "long non-coding RNA (CARA_LNC004540)". Lineage: Eukaryota; Viridiplantae; Streptophyta; Magnoliopsida; Gentianales; Rubiaceae. The record is from RNAcentral.